AAAGGUUAGCCUUGACACACAACCCAACCCAACAAACACACACAAACCAGAGACACCCCCUCCGCCAUCCUGAAUACACCAACCAGCUUCCUAUCUGCACCAAGCAAUUCCAUACAAUUAAUCUGACAAAGCCAAAUGUAAUUGAUUGAUAAGGGGCACAACGGCCCACACUAACCUUCCCAGAGUGCAUUUGUCUGGGAGCGCAGACGGCCAGCGCAGAUGCCAUCAGGCCCAUCAACAGGGUGAGUGUUAUCAGCCGUGGGAUCGAACUGUAGUCUUCUUGGAGCAUCGCCAGCAUCACGCCGAGAGGGAGAGGGAGUGAAAGGGUGGCACUAAUGGGACAGCCCCGGACGCCGCAUCUCCACCGGGAUCAAACGGCAGAAAGCCCUGACGUGCUCCUUAAGGUCACCGCUGACUUUGCGUUUGUCCUCGUUUGAAAAGAACACCCUUUGACAAACCUGGGGAGCAAGAACGAAUCUGGAAAAAUCUACUUGUAUACCAACGCCGCUGAAAGAACAGUGGCACACUGCAUCUUGUGGACGCUGGCUUCCGAAUGACAACAGGACGGAGGCAAGGCCUCUUCUGCUGUACCAACCAGACCAGCCUGGUUUCACAUCUGGAAGUGUCUCGGUCCAUGACGGACAGCCCGCGGUGAGCGUUUACAGCUCAUGACAUGCUAGGGAUUAUCUGCUCAGGUUCUUUGGUUGGGUAAAGCCAGCUUGGCGUUUCUCAACAG
Molecule: long non-coding RNA, 736 nt
Organism: Osmerus eperlanus (European smelt)
Lineage: Eukaryota; Metazoa; Chordata; Actinopteri; Osmeriformes; Osmeridae
Exons: 3
Source: RefSeq, a predicted model, not a curated record